Molecule: ribosomal RNA, 483 nt
Filed under: uncultured bacterium
Lineage: Bacteria
Description: partial 16S ribosomal RNA
Rfam family: Bacterial small subunit ribosomal RNA
Source: RNAcentral
GACGAACGCUGGCGGCGUGCUUAACACAUGCAAGUCGAACGCUGAAGCUCAGCUUUUGUUGGGUGGAUGAGUGGCGAACGGGUGAGUAACACGUGAGUAACCUGCCCCCUUCUUUGGGAUAACGCCCGGAAACGGGUGCUAAUACUGGAUAUUCACUGGUCUUCGCAUGGGGGUUGGUGGAAAGGGUUUUUCUGGUGGGGGAUGGGCUCGCGGCCUAUCAGCUUGUUGGUGGGGUGAUGGCCUACCAAGGCUUUGACGGGUAGCCGGCCUGAGAGGGUGACCGGGAACAGUGGGACUGAGAUACGGCCCAGACUCGUACGGGAGGCAGCAGUGGGGAAUAUUGCACAAUGGGCGCAAGCCUGAUGCAGUGACGCCGCGGGAGGGAUGGAGGCCGUCGGGUUGUGAACCUCUUUCGCUAAUGGUCAAGCCGCAACAAUGGUUGUGGUGAGGGUAGUGGGUAAAGAAGCGCCGGCUAACUACGUG